Molecule: long non-coding RNA, 1254 nt
Filed under: Anolis carolinensis (green anole)
Lineage: Eukaryota; Metazoa; Chordata; Lepidosauria; Squamata; Anolidae
Description: lncRNA (ENSACAG00000036948.1)
Source: RNAcentral
GGAGCACAUAGCCCCUCGCGCCCCAUUGCCGCCCACCCAAAAGCUAAUCCGGGAGGCUUUCGUUUCUCUGCUCAUUAAAUCGAGAGAGUGCAAAGUCGCUCGGCUUUUGUGUUGCCCACAUUUCAUGCCGCUUUGCCUUUCCCCCCAAGGGGCUUUUCCCCUUCUCACUUGACAGGUCGACACAAGAAAGACGGAAAGCAACCGCUCCGCAUUUUUUCCUCCUCGCCCGUUUUUCUGAGUUCCUUCCUUUCCUGCAAAUCAAUAUUAGUUAUUAGUUGAACAAUGAAGAUGCUUUAUUGCAUGGAGGGUUCUGGGCAAAGGCGAGCGUACUGCUAAGCCCCGCUGAACGAGGAAGAGAUAUGAACUGCUUCGGACUAAUGAGGAAUACAUUAGGAAUGCUGCUGUAAUUUGCUUCAUUUAAAGCCGCUCUCAGAAGUUUCAGAAACGGAAUUCAUAUCCUCUCAAGUAGCAUUUGACUUCCGCCUCAGACCAGUUCGCCUGCUUUUGGUCCAAAAUUCAGUUCUUGCAGGACAUUGAAAAGCUAUUUUAACAAGAUUGUGUUAUUCAUUGGAUAUUAUGUCUCCCUUCCAUCCUUCCUUCCUUCCUUCCUUCCUUCCUUCCUGUCUCCAAGGUGUCCCCAUUGAAGAUCUGGUGCUUUUUCCUUGAGGUCUCCAAGGUUCUUCUACUGAACAUCUGGACACAUUUCAUUGUAAUCUCUUCUAAGGGGUCCCCAUUGAAGAUCUAGAGCUUUUUCCUUGCGGUCUCCAAGGUGCCUCUAUUGAAUAUUAGAAGUUCUUUCAUUGUUGUUGUUGUUGUUGUUGUUGUUGUUGUUUUGCACUACAAAUAAGACAUGUGAAGUAUGCAUAGGAAUUUGUUUGUAUUUUUUUUCAAAUGAUAAUUCGGCCCCUCAACAGUCUGAAGCAGGGGUCCCCAAACUAAGGCCCGGGGGCCGGAUGCGGCCCUCCAAGGUAAUUUAUCUGGCCCCAGCUCUUAGUUUUAGACUUCGCCUUGCCCAAAGCAUGAAAUGACUUGAAGGCACACAAUACCAACAAUCCUACGUAACUUGACUAUCUCAUUGGCCAGAAGCAGGCCCACACUUCCCAUUGAAAUCCUGAUAGGUUUAUGUUGGUUAAAAUUGUUUUUAUUAUUAAAUAUUGUAUUGUUCUUUCAUUUACUAAUACUGUGCUAUGGUAACAAUUGAAUAUAAUGUGUACAUAUAAUAUUGAUACUAAUAUUAUAAUGUAAUACAAUAUA